UUUAUCGGAGAGUUUGAUCCUGGCUCAGGACGAACGCUGGCGGCGUGCCUAAUACAUGCAAGUCGAGCGGACUUGAAUAGAAGCUUGCUUCUAUUCAAGUUAGCGGCGGACGGGUGAGUAACACGUGGGUAACCUGCCUGUAAGACUGGGAUAACUCCGGGAAACCGGGGCUAAUACCGGAUAACUUCUUUCUCCGCAUGGAGAAAGAUUGAAAGAUGGUUUCGGCUAUCACUUACAGAUGGACCCGCGGCGCAUUAGCUAGUUGGUGAGGUAACGGCUCACCAAGGCGACGAUGCGUAGCCGACCUGAGAGGGUGAUCG
This 320-nucleotide ribosomal RNA is filed under the name Bacillaceae bacterium SAOS 7. RNAcentral's name for it is "bacterial SSU rRNA". It matches the Rfam family "Bacterial small subunit ribosomal RNA", at positions 1 to 306 of the family's 1533-position model. The record is from RNAcentral. Lineage: Bacteria; Bacillati; Bacillota; Bacilli; Caryophanales; Bacillaceae.